RNAcentral lists this ribosomal RNA (1447 nucleotides) under archaeon RC36. Its description in RNAcentral is "bacterial SSU rRNA". It matches the Rfam family "Archaeal small subunit ribosomal RNA". The record is from RNAcentral.
GCUAGAUGUGCGGGUUUAGACCCGCAGCGGAAAGCUCAGUAACACGUGGCCAAGCUACCCUGUGGACGGGAAUACUCUCGGGAAACUGAGGCUAAUCCCCGAUAACGCUUUGCUCCUGGAAGGGGCAAAGCCGGAAACGCUCCGGCGCCACAGGAUGCGGCUGCGGUCGAUUAGGUAGACGGUGGGGUAACGGCCCACCGUGCCCAUAAUCGGUACGGGUUGUGAGAGCAAGAGCCCGGAGACGGAAUCUGAGACAAGAUUCCGGGCCCUACGGGGCGCAGCAGGCGCGAAACCUUUACACUGUACGAAAGUGCGAUAAGGGGACUCCGAGUGUGAAGGCAUAGAGCCUUCACUUUUGUACACCGUAAGGUGGUGCACGAAUAAGGACUGGGCAAGACCGGUGCCAGCCGCCGCGGUAAUACCGGCAGUCCGAGUGAUGGCCGAUCUUAUUGGGCCUAAAGCGUCCGUAGCUGGCUGAACAAGUCCGUUGGGAAAUCUGUCCGCUUAACGGGCAGGCGUCCAGCGGAAACUGUUCAGCUUGGGACCGGAAGACCUGAGGGGUACGUCUGGGGUAGGAGUGAAAUCCUGUAAUCCUGGACGGACCGCCGGUGGCGAAAGCGCCUCAGGAGAACGGAUCCGACAGUGAGGGACGAAAGCUAGGGUCUCGAACCGGAUUAGAUACCCGGGUAGUCCUAGCUGUAAACGAUGUCCGCUAGGUGUGGCGCAGGCUACGAGCCUGCGCUGUGCCGUAGGGAAGCCGAGAAGCGGACCGCCUGGGAAGUACGUCUGCAAGGAUGAAACUUAAAGGAAUUGGCGGGGGAGCACUACAACCGGAGGAGCCUGCGGUUUAAUUGGACUCAACGCCGGACAUCUCACCAGCCCCGACAGUAGUAAUGACGGUCAGGUUGAUGACCUUACCCGAGGCUACAACCGGAGGAGCCUGCGGUUUAAUUGGACUCAACGCCGGACAUCUCACCAGCCCCGACAGUAGUAAUGACGGUCAGGUUGAUGACCUUACCCGAGGCUACUGAGAGGAGGUGCAUGGCCGCCGUCAGCUCGUACCGUGAGGCGUCCUGUUAAGUCAGGCAACGAGCGAGACCCGCACUCCUAAUUGCCAGCAGUACCCUUUGGGUAGCUGGGUACAUUAGGUGGACUGCCGCUGCCAAAGCGGAGGAAGGAACGGGCAACGGUAGGUCAGUAUGCCCCGAAUGGGCUGGGCAACACGCGGGCUACAAUGGUCGAGACAAUGGGAAGCCACUCCGAGAGGAGGCGCUAAUCUCCUAAACUCGAUCGUAGUUCGGAUUGAGGGCUGAAACUCGCCCUCAUGAAGCUGGAUUCGGUAGUAAUCGCGUGUCAGCAGCGCGCGGUGAAUACGUCCCUGCUCCUUGCACACACCGCCCGUCAAAUCACCCGAGUGGGGUUCGGAUGAGGCCGGCAUGCGCUGGUC